CUUCCAUGUUUUAAAGAAAUACAUGGGUUUAAAAAUCCUCUUUAAUGAAUCCCACCAGAUAAACGUGUCAAAGGGGUGGUCUGUGACCAUGAGGGCUGUGUCAGCGGGUUCCACGGAAGGCCAAGCACCGCGGGGUGCUCGUGCCCUGGCCCUGAGGGAUUUCUGAACAGGCAUCUGGGUUCUCGCUCUGUGACUAUUACGGUGCCAUCCGACAUUUCGGAAGCGGUGCUCUUUGUGAAGGCGGUGACGUGUCUGGGAAGAGCAUCAAAGGGAGAGUCUGUUGGAAGUCAGGAACGGGUGGCCCGCCCCGAGGGUCCGGUUCUGGGUUCUCACCGGCUGCGUCUCUCCCUCCUCGUCCACCCCCCGCAUGGACAGGACACCAGGAGACCCAGCCCCACGCUCAGGCCCCGUCGUCUGCAAGUGACCAGGCUUCCUUCUAGAAGGGUCCUUGGAGGAGCCGUCUUCCGGAAGCCUGCCUGCCAGUUGUUGGAGGGUUUAAGGGUUCUUUGCUUUCUCUCCUCCAGGUUUCUCUCCACCCACAAAGUCAACGCGCACCGUCAAGGGGCCCGAAUCUCAUUCCUUUGUCCGAACUUGCCAGCUCGGUGGCUGCGACGCCCGUCCCUCUCGGGAACACGCAGGGAAAGAGAGGAUGUCAGUUCCAGGUCUGUCUGGGGGUGUCGGGGAUCCAGCACAGACUUUAACUCUCUGAAGCUGCCCAGUGAGAUCGUGAACCUGGUACCCCUCCAGUCCUGCACCUGGCGCUCGGCUGUGUCACCGCUGGUGUGACGUCCUUGCAUCCACGCCCCACUCUGGCAGAAGACGGAGAGCCACACGUCGGCACUUGGGUUUCUUCAGGCCCACUUCUGCCUCUUGGAGUGAAGACAGGUCGCCUGUUGGCCAAGCUUUGAAUUAUGAAGCCUUGCAUGACGUCACACACACCCUGAGAACUGCCCGUCAGGGACAGAAAGGUACUUGGAGGAAGAAUCUUCAAACCAAGAGUCAGAAAGGAGACAUGGGCCUGUGGGAACCUUCUGCAGAUGGGUGGCAUCAGCGUGCCUGGAAGUGGUCCUCCAAACCCAGGUUUGCAGAUGGGUGCCCUCUGCCUCCACAGGAAACAUCCUAAGACCUUCCUUCUGAAACUCGGCUCCAGAGGUCUGGUCCCUUCAUUUCUCUAAAGCACCCAGAGCAGUCAGGUGACCAUAUUUUUGCAACAGCAAUUGUUCUAAAUCCAGAACACAGAGCCGUCCCAAAAGGAGGAGGAGGAGGCAGGCGGUGUCCUUGGAUGCUCCCGGGAGGAGCGGGCCAGGAGGAGCGGCCGGGAGGCUUUGCACUGGAACCCCACGUGCCCUGCUUUAGCAGGGGGCUGCCUCUGUGCUCGCCAGUGGGCACACCCCUGGCAGUGGCUUCUCCCCACCCCAGCCUGCCUUCACAGGCACAUCCAUUUCUCGGGCUCAGGGAAUGUCUUUUCUUUUCUUUUUUUUUUUUUUUUUAACCCUGCAAAAGUAAAUGUCCCGAUCCAAACCCGGGCCCUCGGUUUCCAUUUGCCAGGGAGCACAGGCUGGUGGUGGUUUCUCUUCUCCUUUCAAGUCAUCUUCACAGUGGAAACUUGAAAGGGGUGAUCUAUAAACAUUUCAGAUCCAUAAUAUACUACUUCCUCUAGGUUCUUCGGAGCGGAAGCUUUGCUCUUGAGAAGAGGUGGUGUGCAGAAAAGCCCUUUUCUCUGUCAGGAGGGCUCCCCGUGCACUUGGCCGCAGCUGAAACCUGUUUUAAUCAGACCUUCCUCUUUUAUAAGCAGGGCCGGCUUGCAGUUCCACACGGCAGCCGAGGCCUGGAGCUGCAGGAAGAGGGCUCCAGCGAUCCUUUUGUUACCCUAAUCAGAGCCAGAAGGGCUGUAUUGACUUUUGGGCCUUGGGGACUUGUCCUUCUUUUGUGUCCAUCUCAUUCGAGAAAUCAAGUUUGAUUAAUUUGUCAUCAAGCAAAACUGCAGGAUGGGGAGCCAGCCCUUUGAAGUGAAAGAAGGAUGAACUUGGACUGCGAAGCCCAGGUCAGCGGGCAGACUGGCCGUGGCGCCCCGUCCACCCAGGCUCUUCUCCGCAGAGCUGCCUCUUCUGGUUUAAAACCCUUUAUUUUUUCUUCUUUAAACCUUUCCUCCAUGAAGGGCUCGGAGAUGACCCCCCAUCUCCGCCUUUUGUUUUCUUUAAUUGUUAAAAGCCAGUCACCAGGGUCCGCAGAGCCAGUCGGAUCCGAAAACACUUAGCGGCUCCACCAAGCCUGGGGCUGGAGGACUUGACCUCCCGCCAAUCUUGAAAGACCACUGCUCACGGGCGAGGCCGCAGGACUGAACCCAGUGUCAGCGUGCACUUCUGGAAUGAAUAACCGGAGGGGGCUCCAGCUGGGUCACGGGACAGACGCUCAUUUACGAUGCCCUGGUCUUGUUAACCUGCACUUAGCAGAGUCCCCAAACUGCUGAGAUCGCAUGAGGCGGUGGCCCCGAGAUAUUAUUUAAUCCUAGACUUAGUGUCAUAUUUCUUGUUCAGAUGGUCUAUGUGCUUUAUAAGGAGUCACAGGGCUUUAAAAAAAUUAUAGAGUAAGCAAUCUUGAUCCCCCCACCCCCACCCCGGGUAACAAAGUCCCCACGGCUGACAGUUCAGUGCACAGGGCUUUUUAGGAUGCUGGCCCCUCAGGUAGGUACAAAAAGCAGAAGUCCAGGGCUCGCUCAGCUUUGAAAAAGGUUUAAAAGUCUCCAACCAAUUAUAAACAGCCGUUGUGGUGACUGAA
Molecule: long non-coding RNA, 2778 nt
Organism: Ictidomys tridecemlineatus (thirteen-lined ground squirrel)
Lineage: Eukaryota; Metazoa; Chordata; Mammalia; Rodentia; Sciuridae
Source: RefSeq, a predicted model, not a curated record